GGAGGGUGCGAGCGUUAAUCGGAAUUACUGGGCGUAAAGCGCGCGUAGGCGGCUUGGUCAGUCGGAUGUGAAAGCCCCGGGCUUAACCUGGGAAUUGCAUUCGAUACUGCCAGACUAGAGUAUGGGAGAGGGGAGCGGAAUUUCCGGUGUAGCGGUGAAAUGCGUAGAUAUCGGAAGGAACACCAGUGGCGAAGGCGGCUUCCUGGCCCAAUACUGACGCUGAGGUGCGAAAGCGUGGGGAGCGAACAGGGAUUAGAUACCCUGGUAGUCCACGCCGUAAACGAUGAGAACUAGAUGUCGGGAGGAUUUGCCUCUCGGUGUCGCAGCUAACGCGUUAAGUUCUCCGCCUGGGGAGUACGCCGGCAACGGUA
RNAcentral lists this ribosomal RNA (371 nucleotides) under uncultured organism. RNAcentral describes it as "partial 16S ribosomal RNA". It matches the Rfam family "Bacterial small subunit ribosomal RNA", at positions 527 to 896 of the family's 1533-position model. The record is from RNAcentral.